Molecule: unclassified non-coding RNA, 338 nt
Filed under: soil metagenome
Description: partial contains 5.8S ribosomal RNA, internal transcribed spacer 2, and large subunit ribosomal RNA
Rfam family: 5.8S ribosomal RNA (bases 1-120)
Source: RNAcentral
GAUGAAGAACGCAGUGAAAUGCGAUACGUAGUGUGAAUUGCAGAAUUCAGUGAAUCAUCGAAUCUUUGAACGCACAUUGCGCCCUUUGGUAUUCCAAAGGGCAUGCCUGUUCGAGCGUCAUUUGUACCCUCAAGCUUUGCUUGGUGUUGGGCGUCUUGUCUCCAGUCCGCUGGAGACUCGCCUUAAAGUCAUUGGCAGCCGGCCUACUGGUUUCGGAGCGCAGCACAAGUCGCACUCUUUUCCAGCCAAGGUCAGUGUCCAACAAGCCUUUUUUCAACUUUUGACCUCGGAUCAGGUAGGAAUACCCGCUGAACUUAAGCAUAUCAAUAAGCGGAGGA